GACGAACGCUGGCGGCGUGCCUAAUACAUGCAAGUCGAGCGGACUUGACAGGAAAGCUUGCUUUCUUGUCGGUCAGCGGCGGACGGGUGAGUAACACGUGGGCAACCUGCCUGUAAGACCGGGAUAACUCGCGGAAACGCGGGCUAAUACCGGAUAGUUCCUCUUGCUGCAUGGCAAGAGGAGGAAAGAGGGCGCAAGCUCUCACUUACAGAUGGGCCCGCGGCGCAUUAGCUAGUUGGUAGGGUAAUGGCCUACCAAGGCGACGAUGCGUAGCCGACCUGAGAGGGUGAUCGGCCACAUUGGGACUGAGACACGGCCCAAACUCCUACGGGAGGCAG
This 338-nucleotide ribosomal RNA is filed under the name uncultured Bacillota bacterium. RNAcentral's name for it is "bacterial SSU rRNA". It matches the Rfam family "Bacterial small subunit ribosomal RNA", at positions 28 to 351 of the family's 1533-position model. Lineage: Bacteria; Bacillati; Bacillota. The record is from RNAcentral.